Molecule: transfer RNA, 74 nt
Filed under: Calditrichota bacterium
Lineage: Bacteria; Pseudomonadati; Calditrichota
Description: Calditrichaeota bacterium (oil production facility metagenome) tRNA-His
Rfam family: tRNA
About the family: Transfer RNA (tRNA) molecules are approximately 80 nucleotides in length. Their secondary structure includes four short double-helical elements and three loops (D, anti-codon, and T loops). Further hydrogen bonds mediate the characteristic L-shaped molecular structure. tRNAs have two regions of fundamental functional importance: the anti-codon, which is responsible for specific mRNA codon recognition, and the 3' end, to which the tRNAs corresponding amino acid is attached (by aminoacyl-tRNA synthetases). tRNAs cope with the degeneracy of the genetic code in two manners: having more than one tRNA (with a specific anti-codon) for a particular amino acid; and 'wobble' base-pairing, i.e. permitting non-standard base-pairing at the 3rd anti-codon position.
Source: RNAcentral
GUGAGCGUAGCUCAGCUGGAUAGAGCACUAGGCUGUGGCCCUGGUGGUCGCGGGUUCGAAUCCCGUCGCUCACC